Molecule: long non-coding RNA, 941 nt
Filed under: Mustela putorius furo (domestic ferret)
Lineage: Eukaryota; Metazoa; Chordata; Mammalia; Carnivora; Mustelidae
Description: lncRNA (ENSMPUG00000026048.1)
Source: RNAcentral
CUGGCAACUGUGUGUGUGGAUGGACCCACAGCAUCACCUCUGGGGGGGGGGGACACAGACUGUACUGUUACGUACAGCUCUUCUCUUUAUGGGCACUCUGGUAUGCUGAUCUCACCAGGCUGGCGGAUGAACAGCUAAAAGGUGGUGACCUACAAGGGGUUACAAAGGACAUGUCUGGGUGGCUCAGUUAGUUGGGCAUCAAAUUCUUAGUUUUGGCUCAGGUCAUGAUCUCAGGGUCAUGAGAUCAACCCCUGCAUUGGGCUCCAUGCUCAGGAGGGAGUCUGAGAUUUUGUCCCUCUGCCCUUCCUCCUUCCUUGUGCACGUUUUUUUUUUUUCUCUCUCUCUCAAAUAAGUAAAUAAAUCUGGCUUCUCUUCCCUGCUCUCUUCUCUGGCCUCAUACACAUCACGGGCUCAGAAUCCACAGGGAGUGCAGUGAACCAAACAAGUGAAAUCAAGCCUAUUCGUCUUUUCCUUUUAGAGACGGAAAACUCAAGUAACAUCACUGGUCUUUAGAUCUUUGCCUUUAUGACUGGAUAAAGCAAAGCCAGGCGACAAGAGUGGGAAAAACGGUUGACCAAGACCAUUUUCUAAAUGGGCUUUUUCCACAUGACGGAAAUAGAGAUUAGAGCUAGAAUUGAAGAAAGGGUCCCGAGCAAACCUGGGAGAAGGAUGGGAGGUACCGAAAAAGCACUUGAGAAGCUCCUAGGCAAGUCUAGAAGAAAAGCUCAUUUUCCCAUUAGGAAAAUGCUUUUGUCAAGUAGCCUGUGUUCCUGUAGCACAAGAUGUACCAAGCAUUGACCUUGCAAGUUGUCGAGACAGAGAAAGAGAGAGAAAUAUGAUCACAAUUUGCCACGUUUCGGAGUUCCAUCCUGACAUGCAGACAAUUUUGUUCAGCAAACAUCCAGUGAUUUUUUAGCGGGAAGUAAAUAUGUCAACAGGAA